This 433-nucleotide ribosomal RNA is filed under the name uncultured bacterium. RNAcentral describes it as "bacterial SSU rRNA". It matches the Rfam family "Bacterial small subunit ribosomal RNA", at positions 958 to 1392 of the family's 1533-position model. The record is from RNAcentral.
AACGCGAAGAACCUUACCUGGGUUUGACAUAUGCCGGAAACAUCUAGAGAUAGGUGCCCCGUAAGGUCGGUAUACAGGUGGUGCAUGGCUGUCGUCAGCUCGUGUCGUGAGAUGUUGGGUUAAGUCCCGCAACGAGCGCAACCCUCGUCUAUUGUUGCCAGCACGUUAUGGUGGGGACUCAAUAGAGACUGCCGGGGUCAACUCGGAGGAAGGUGGGGAUGACGUCAAGUCAUCAUGCCCCUUAUGUCCAGGGCUUCACGCAUGCUACAAUGGCUGGUACAGAGGGCUGCAAUACCGCAAGGUUGAGCGAAUCCCAAAAAGCCAGUCUCAGUUCGGAUUGGGGUCUGCAACUCGACCCCAUGAAGUCGGAGUCGCUAGUAAUCGCAGAUCAGCAACGCUGCGGUGAAUACGUUCCCGGGUCUUGUACACACCG